GCGUCUGUAGCCUAGUUGGUAAAGGCAUCACUCUAGUAAUGCUGAGGUCAUGGGUUCGACUCCCAUCAGACACA
This 74-nucleotide transfer RNA is filed under the name Uromyces viciae-fabae. RNAcentral's name for it is "tRNA-Thr (AGT) (tRNA-Thr-AGT-5-1)". It matches the Rfam family "tRNA". From Rfam's summary of the family: Transfer RNA (tRNA) molecules are approximately 80 nucleotides in length. Their secondary structure includes four short double-helical elements and three loops (D, anti-codon, and T loops). Further hydrogen bonds mediate the characteristic L-shaped molecular structure. tRNAs have two regions of fundamental functional importance: the anti-codon, which is responsible for specific mRNA codon recognition, and the 3' end, to which the tRNAs corresponding amino acid is attached (by aminoacyl-tRNA synthetases). tRNAs cope with the degeneracy of the genetic code in two manners: having more than one tRNA (with a specific anti-codon) for a particular amino acid; and 'wobble' base-pairing, i.e. permitting non-standard base-pairing at the 3rd anti-codon position. Lineage: Eukaryota; Fungi; Basidiomycota; Pucciniomycetes; Pucciniales; Pucciniaceae. The record is from RNAcentral.